UGGGGAAUAUUGCACAAUGGGCGCAAGCCUGAUGCAGCCAUGCCGCGUGUAUGAAGAAGGCCUUCGGGUUGUAAAGCACUUUCAGCGGGGAGGAAGGUGUUGAGGUUAAUAACCUCAGCAAUUGACGUUACCCGCAGAAGAAGCACCGGCUAACUCCGUGCCAGCAGCCGCGGUAAUACGGAGGGUGCAAGCGUUAAUCGGAAUUACUGGGCGUAAAGCGCACGCAGGCGGUCUGUCAAGUCGGAUGUGAAAUCCCCGGGCUCAACCUGGGAACUGCAUUCGAAACUGGCAGGCUAGAGUCUUGUAGAGGGGGGUAGAAUUCCAGGUGUAGCGGUGAAAUGCGUAGAGAUCUGGAGGAAUACCGGUGGCGAAGGCGGCCCCCUGGACAAAGACUGACGCUCAGGUGCGAAAGCGUGGGGAGCAAACA
RNAcentral lists this ribosomal RNA (427 nucleotides) under uncultured bacterium. RNAcentral's name for it is "partial 16S ribosomal RNA". It matches the Rfam family "Bacterial small subunit ribosomal RNA", at positions 355 to 774 of the family's 1533-position model. The record is from RNAcentral.